Molecule: transfer RNA, 71 nt
Filed under: Agabus fuscipennis
Lineage: Eukaryota; Metazoa; Arthropoda; Insecta; Coleoptera; Dytiscidae
Description: transfer RNA-Leu
Source: RNAcentral
UAUUAAUUACUUUGGCAGAAUAGUGUAAUGAAUUUAGAAUUCAUAAAUGUAAUAUAAAUUUACAAGUAAUA